This 429-nucleotide ribosomal RNA is filed under the name bacterium. RNAcentral's name for it is "partial 16S ribosomal RNA". It matches the Rfam family "Bacterial small subunit ribosomal RNA", at positions 355 to 776 of the family's 1533-position model. The record is from RNAcentral.
UAGGGAAUCUUCGGCAAUGGGGGCAACCCUGACCGAGCAACGCCGCGUGUGUGAAGAAGGUUUUCGGAUCGUAAAGCUCUGUUGUAAGAGAAGAACGUGUGUGAGAGUGGAAAGUUCACACAGUGACGGUAACUUACCAGAAAGGGACGGCUAACUACGUGCCAGCAGCCGCGGUAAUACGUAGGUUCCGAGCGUUGUCCGGAUUUACUGGGCGUAAAGCGAGCGCAGGCGGUUUAAUAAGUCUGAAGUUAAAGGCAGUGGCUUAACCAUUGUUCGCUUUGGAAACUGUUAAACUUGAGUGCAGAAGGGGAGGGUGGAAUUCCAUGUGUAGCGGUGAAAUGCGUAGAUAUAUGGAGGAACACCGGUGGCGAAGGCGGCUCACUGGUCUGUAACUGACGCUGAGGCUCGAAAGCGUGGGGAGCAAACAGG